Molecule: ribosomal RNA, 114 nt
Filed under: Salvia splendens (bonfire salvia)
Lineage: Eukaryota; Viridiplantae; Streptophyta; Magnoliopsida; Lamiales; Lamiaceae
Source: RNAcentral
GCGAUCAUACCAGCACUAAUGCACGGAUCCCAUCAGAACUCCGCAGUUAAACGUGCUUGGGCGAGAGUAGUACUAGGAUGGGUGACCUCCUGGGAAGUCCUCGUGUUGCACCCC